RNAcentral lists this long non-coding RNA (1060 nucleotides) under Salarias fasciatus (jewelled blenny). Its description in RNAcentral is "lncRNA (ENSSFAG00005013048.1)". Lineage: Eukaryota; Metazoa; Chordata; Actinopteri; Blenniiformes; Blenniidae. The record is from RNAcentral.
CUCCGGCAGACGCCAUUCAGCUUUCUGGCUUUCCAAUUUCACAGGUUCCUGCUCUCUCAUCCCCUCGUGUUGUUCGCUGAGAGUUAAUCCAUCAAUCUGUCCACCAUUCGGCUCUGUGGUUGGUUUUCCACUUGUUUUUCUUGUCCUGCCUUCCCUGGUUCAUUCACUGCCUCUCCUCUGCUUUCAAUUAGGAAGUUUGGAGUUUACGAGAGGAAGGGAGGGAGGGAGCGAGCGAGCAUGGUGGAGUCUCCGGGGGAAACGACAGACCGCGUGUCCGCCUCUAAUGAAACGCAGGGCGAGAGGUGCGGCUUCCAUCGGUGAUCCAGUUUAUCAAGAAUCAGCCCAAAGCAGGACCAGUUCAAAGCCAGACUGGCUGCAGGAGCGCAGCAGCACGUCUGCCUGCAGUGAACUCCUGAGCUCCGCUGGAUCUUCUCAUCUGACCUGAAUGACCUGAAUCAUCACCCACUCACCGUCUGUCUUAAAUGUAUAUUUAAAUUCUAUCUAACUUAUAUCCGUUAUUACUGCACAUACGUAUCUGUCUCAAGUGUUUAACUUAUAUCUGUUAUUAGUAUAGUACGCAUAUCUGUCCGUCUUGAACAUAUAUCUUAAUUAUCUCUUUGUAUUUGCUAAUGUAUAUCUUUAUAUCUGUUAUUUAUUUCAUUAUAUCUGUCUGAGAUCUUUAUGUAAAUUAUAUUUAAUUUAUAUCUGUCAGUUUAUAUCUAAUACUUAUAAUCUGUCUUAAAUUUGUAUUUAAAUUAUAUUUAAUUUCCAUUUAAUAUUUAGUUCUGUCGGUCAGUAUAUUUCUGUUGUUUAAUUAUAUCUAUCCUAAUUUUACAUACAAAUUAUAUUUAACUUUUCCUUGUAUGGUUGGGCUUUUUAUUUUUCUAUUUUUCUUACUAUGUUUUUUGCUGCUGCAACCCUGCAUUUUCCCCAUGCGGGACAAAUAAAGGACUUUCAACUCAAUUCCAUUUCAAUUGGCUGCUGCUGACGGGUGACGAGCACACAGCUUCAUUCAUGACCCUCUCGGUUAUUAUCCCAGCAGCCCUGUGUUAGACAGGCG